Trachemys scripta elegans is the source of this 4387-nucleotide long non-coding RNA. RefSeq lists it as uncharacterized. The record is from RefSeq and is a predicted model, not a curated record. The transcript is spliced from 3 exons. Lineage: Eukaryota; Metazoa; Chordata; Testudines; Emydidae.
ACAAAGCCCUGGCUGGGAUGAUUUAGUUGGGGAUUGGUCCUGCUUUGAGAAGAGGUGUGGACUAGAUGACCUCCUGAGGUCCUUUCUAAUCCUGAUAUUCUGAGAGUCUAUGGAGGUCCAUUGCAUACCAAGGGCAGUAUGGAAAAAUACAGAGGUAUUGUAGCUGGGAAGAAUCUUUCAGAUAAGCUAUAAAGGAGGCAUCUGUUAUUUGGGGACAGUUUUUAGAACAGCUGCUUGAAAUAGUUCUUGUACAUCAUAUCUGUCUGGCUACCUCUCUUGUGAUGGUCACUCCAUCUGCAAAAGUCUGGAUCCAAAUCAGGUUCUUUUGUUAAUCAGACACCAGAGGACCCUCUCCCAUCCUUCGGCAUCACAUUGAGAAGAGAACCUCAUAGAUAGGAGAAACUUGGGCCACAUUCCCCUUGGAGAAGUAGGAACUAGCACUCAUGAGGAGGUACAGAAUAUAGAGUUCUUAGUUACCACAAAAUUAGUAAGCUUUUCUCUAGUGUCAAAGGAUCCCCAAAGAGAAUGUUCUAACCAGAAUAACUAUCCGCUCUCCAGAAAAACUUGUGUGGUCUUAUUUUUUAGUAACCAAGAUCCUCUCAACACAAAGUGAUCAAGUUGCUGUAAUAGGCAACACUCCCAUAUGGAGCUAAUGAUGUGGGCAUCUGCUGAUGUCAGUGACCCCAAGAGACUCUGAAUUUGAGGCCAUUCCUGUUUACCCAAGCACAUCAUCCAUAAAUUAGUACAGGGCCCCAGGCUUUUCUGUUCAUGCUAUUAUAAUACUGGUAACUGUCCCAAAGAUAGAACAGCUGCAAGCUCUGCAAACUGAGAGAGCACAUUUAGUGUCCGGGAACAGCUCUCCCACCUGUCCAACCCAUGGCUGAGUGACUGGAGCGACUUGCUGCACUUGUGGAUGAGGAAGCCAGAGGGCAGUCAGUCUAUUUGAGCCACUCUCGGAGAUCCUUCAGACAUAAGCCUAUCUCAGUUGUGGAGCACAUAGUUGAUGGAAAAUGCAGCAGCUCUGAAUGAUAUGCUCUUGCUUAAGGUGCUCUCUGAGUCUUCCUGCAUGCAAAAUAAGUGACCUGUGAACCCCUUUCUGAAAAUCCCAUUUCCUGGUUUUCCACAAGGAAAGUCAUUAUUCAGACCAUCUUUGUGCUUAUUUCUUUUCACUCCAGUCUCUACUGAGUUUCUAUCUUGAGCCCAGAUCUGAAGAAAAUAAAGCCUGGGAUGCUCAUGGUUGCACGAGGAACUCACUGGUUGAAUACAACUUUAAAAACCUAGAUCAAAAAUUUCAUCACGGAGGCCUACGUAGACUUACUUAGAGGACUAAGAAGUCAUUUUGUUGUGCUCAGUACUACAGAAAUGCUUGUAUAUAAUGCAAAUAUUUCUACUCCCAUCGUGCUGCCAAUCAGCACAAGUGGUAUUCCAGAGUUGUCUUUUUUUCCCCAUGUUCUUACCAUUACAAAUUAGACACUGAAUUCUCACCAGAUAUGACUUUAGAGUGCAGUUUGGGAGUGUGUUCCCUCAAAUCUUUUGCUUUCCCUCUUUCCCCAUUUGCUUUUGGAUUUUAUUUAAGGAUUGCUGCAAAGAUCCACUUGGUUCUGAGUUAAUCCCCUGAAGAUGCAGAAACAGAAAAUCUGCCUGUUCUGAUUGGAUUUCUGUUUCUCUUUUCCCUAAUUCAAGAGACUUUUUUCCUUAAAUUCAGAUGUCUGUAAUUUCCUAGGACACUUAAGCUUUUUAGUCUUUCAGGAAAGAAUUUAAAGUAAGCUUUUCUGUGGAAUUAUCAUUUAGAGAACAUGGCAGCGUUAAGCUCUCAGAUAAGAAAAUGCCAAAGUUAAAGUUGAGGAUGCAAUCCUAACUGCCCCCUUGUGGCUAUGCCUGUAAUUAUAAAGCCAAUUUUUUUUUUUCUUCUCAGUACUGAUUCAGACUGAAACUGCCACACGUAGGGUGCUUGUACAAGGAAGAGGUUGAAAUGCCAGUGUGAUGUUCAUUGCUCCUACUUCUGCUGGUUUGUAUUGAAAAAGUCCGGAAGUGAUAACUUGAGGCCCCUGGGAAAUAAAGAUAUUUCCUCCUCCAUUGUGGCUUUGGCUGUCAGGUGCUACAGGUUCCACUUUUCACCUCUCCUUUUUAGCUGGACGCUGCCACCCACUAUUUACCUAUCUUAGUUCAGUUCUGCACACAAUUAGCUGUGACCAGGUCUUCAAAGGUAUUUUAAAGGAAUUCGGGGUGCUUGGGGAAGGAUGGUAGUAGCUUGCACACUAAAUCUUGACGUUUGCAGCUGGGAGGGGGAACCACAAAUGAAUGGCUUGUCAGUGAGCUUCAGAUUUGCUAAAACUGACCCUGCUGUUUCUCAGACGAUAAUGUAUCUUACUGUGGUUUUUCUACAGUCUUAAGAACAUAAUGUAGUAUCUUAUGGUACUUUUUAAAUUUUGCUUACGUGAGUUUUCUUCUUAAAGUCCAGUAUCUUUGUUACCAUACACUUUUUAUAGGAUAAGCACAAAGGUUGAUAUUUGAAUAAUUUGGUCAUCUCUGUACUAUCCAUUUAUUUUCAAAACAGCAGUGCAGGCUUUUUUUUAGGUGCAAUUAACUUUGAAGCUAAUCUGGCCUGUUUAUGCCAGUAAAUGUUCACUGCUCUGUACAAUGUAAAAUGUUUUUCAUAUUGGCAACUCUCAUAAACAUAAAGUAGUUUACAAGACUGCAGGAUACUGCAUGUGUUCUUUUUUUAUUUUUUUAUUUUUAUUUUUUGCUCCUUCUGUUUGAGGAUCUCCAGGUAAUUUUAUAACACAUUCAUUAAGUCUUCCCCAGCUCACAAGAUGUUGUAUUAUCUAUCUUCUACAGACAAGGAAAUUAAAUCAGGUAUUUUGUCCAGUUAUGAAUCAGGGACGGAGCCGGAAUACAAAUUAGGACUUCAGCUUGCGUUUCUCUGCUCUUACAACUUGACUAAAUUUCCUGUUUUUUUAAAGACAGCUGGACUAGAAAGUAAGGUGCAGGAUUAAUUCUGAAACUAUUUAAUUAGUUCUAUUAAUUGAGAUGUAUUAUAGAAUCACUUUCAACUGGUGAAGGAAAACCCCCAGAGGACACCAGAGACUUUAAUUCCUCCAGUUGGGUGAGUUUGCUGCCUAUCAAGAGCAAGAUCAACCCGUCAGGAAUGUGUGUGCUGGGACCCAGUUAACAGGAUAUUCAUCAGAUGCUACAAAUCUAGAUGUAUGAUUCCCAGAACAGUGUGUGAAGUGUAUGGAAAGCAGCUGAAACCAGGAUAAGAUCUAAAGAACAAUGCAAGAAGAGCUAGGAACACAUUUUUAGCUGUCUAGAGGUAGCAUGGUCUGAAGCAAUGAACGCUGGUUGGAAUUAAGGACUUGAUCUGCCACUGACUUGCUCUGUGGCCUUUGACAAGUCACUUCACUUCUUUGCCUCAGUUUCACCAUCUGUAGAAUGGGAAUAGUGCAUAUUCACCUAUCUCACAUGGAAAGCACUGUAUAGGUACCAAUUUUUUUCUCCAGGCAGCUUGCGUACAUGUUCAAAUUAAGUAUCACUGCCUGCUUUGUGGUGAGAGAAUGCAGCUUUCUAUCACGGAUAGGUGGUUAAGGACAGGUAAUUAAGUGCAUUGAAGUUUUAAGGUAGUGUUUGCUGUGAAGCCUAAUGAAAAGUGACUGUGGCAAGUAUGGCAAGAUUCUUUAUACAAGUUUUGCACAGACUUCUCAUUUAUAGGGGACUUCAGUUUAAAUUCCUGAAUUGCUACCCUCAUACCAAUGAAUGUGAUUGGUCUUGUUGAUACCCUGACUAGAUAAAUAUUUGUUUAGAAGCUGAAAUGUUUAAUGAGAAAUAAUGAACCAUAAGAGUUUGAGAGCAGGAAAAUGAGAUCAUUGGCACAAUCCCAAAUUUCCUUUUAUUAGAUCUUGUAUUUUUAUUUACUGUUCUAAAUCAGUCAUAAGAAUUCAGACUAGAAAGGAAGAGAUUCAGGAGAACAUUGUGGAUACAUUAAUGGUGCAGGUUAAACAGAGUUGCUACAAGAAUUCUCAAAUUAAGCAUUAACUGCUACAACAAUGUAUUCAAUCUAUAUUUUGGAAGAAAAAGGCCUUCUUUUGUCUUGGAAUACAUUGGCACUAUUAAAAAGGGACAAAUGACAGCUAGAAAAAUGAUGCAACAAUAGCAUUGUUUAGACUGCUGUCCUCUUCAAGGAGUUCCUGUACCUGCUGAUCAGACAGCAUGGGAUCCAAGAAAUGAACUACAUGUGUAUCAAAAUAUAAAGGUGGGUGUUGUAAGUGUAUUUACAGUGUUCUCUGUUGUAGUUUGCAGUGUAUUGAAAACUAUGCAUAUGUAUUGUAUGUUUUUAUUGGUCCUUUUUUGUAAUGGCCAGUUUCCUCUAAUAAACAUCUAUCUAAAGUCA